Molecule: ribosomal RNA, 505 nt
Filed under: uncultured bacterium
Lineage: Bacteria
Description: partial 16S ribosomal RNA
Rfam family: Bacterial small subunit ribosomal RNA
Source: RNAcentral
GACGAACGCCGGCGGCGUGCCUAAUACAUGCAAGUAGAACGCACAGUUUAUACCGUAGCUUGCUACACCAUAGACUGUGAGUUGCGAACGGGUGAGUAACGCGUAGGUAACCUGCCUGGUAGCGGGGGAUAACUAUUGGAAACGAUAGCUAAUACCGCAUAAUAUUAAUUAUUGCAUGAUAAUUAAUUGAAAGGAGCAAUUGCACCACUACCAGAUGGACCUGCGUUGUAUUAGCUAGUAGGUGAGGUAACGGCUCACCUAGGCGACGAUACAUAGCCGACCUGAGAGGGUGAUCGGCCACACUGGGACUGAGACACGGCCCAGACUCCUACGGGAGGCAGCAGUAGGGAAUCUUCGGCAAUGGACGAAAGUCUGACCGAGCAACGCCGCGUGAGUGAAGAAGGUUUUCGGAUCGUAAAGCUCUGUUGUAAGAGAAGAACGGGUGUGAGAGUGGAAAGUUCACACUGUGACGGUAUCUUACCAGAAAGGGACGGCUAACUACGUG